AGUGAACGCUGGCGGUAGGCCUAACACAUGCAAGUCGAACGGCAGCACAGUAAGAGCUUGCUCUUACGGGUGGCGAGUGGCGGACGGGUGAGGAAUACAUCGGAAUCUACUUUUUCGUGGGGGAUAACGUAGGGAAACUUACGCUAAUACCGCAUACGACCUACGGGUGAAAGCAGGGGAUCUUCGGACCUUGCGCGAUUGAAUGAGCCGAUGUCGGAUUAGCUAGUUGGCGGGGUAAAGGCCCACCAAGGCGACGAUCCGUAGCUGGUCUGAGAGGAUGAACAGCCAAAAUGGAAACGAGACAAGGUCCAGACUCCUACGGGAGGCAGCAGUGGGGAAUAUUGGACAAUGGGCGCAAGCCUGAUCCAGCCAUACCGCGUGGGUGAAGAAGGCCUUCGGGUUGUAAAGCCCUUUUGUUGGGAAAGAAAAGCAGCAGGUUAAUACCCCGCUGUUCUGACGGUACCCAAAGAAUAAGCACCGGCUAACUUCGUG
This 492-nucleotide ribosomal RNA is filed under the name uncultured bacterium. Its description in RNAcentral is "partial 16S ribosomal RNA". It matches the Rfam family "Bacterial small subunit ribosomal RNA", at positions 29 to 507 of the family's 1533-position model. The record is from RNAcentral.